GGUUUCGCACGCACCGAUUCGCCCGGUCCGCGUCGCCCCCCACACUCCCCCCGCCCCCACCCCCACCCACCCCACUACCCCCACUACCAGCUCCGCCGCCGCCGAGCCCAGCACCCGCUCCGAUUUCUGUUCCUGGCGGCGCACCACCCAAUCCCGGCGCCUAGUCGCCGGCUCGCCGCUCCCUCCCGCAGACGCGCCCCACCACCGAUGCUGGUUUCUGUUUUGCAGCUCGGGAUUUGAUCGGUUCCGUUCCCGACUCCGUAGCUCCCAUCGGCGCUCCGCGACGUCGCUCGGUCCUCCCGUCGCCGUCGCCCCCAGGAGAGUACCUGCCGACGGCACCCAGAUCCUGCGACCCUAUCCUUCUUGGGCCUGCCUUUCCUUAGCACGCCCUCCAUCUCCGGUUGCUCGCAUCCACCCGAACACCGACCGGCGAUUCAAGUUCAUCCGCUGCCGAUUCGUGCCGGUCCGCGCUGAUUCGUCAUCCUCCACACGAGGUCCUGCCCCGCUCAAGCUACCCCCGACGCCUGCUCAAUAUUGGAUAAAUCGCUGGUGAUUCCCCUACCGGCGCAAGGCCACGCUGUGUGGAUCGAGGACGCGAACGACAGCGGCCAUUUUCGGCCUGGAAGCAUGCUCACCCUCACCUGAGCUGUCGAAUCAUUGGGGAUGUCCUCUCCAGAUGCAUAAGGUAUCAGAUCGAGUUGGAUUUCAGCACCAAGAAUUGCACCUGCUGCAUUCAAAGCGAAGGCAUCACAGUUUGGCUAGUGCUGGAUCUAGAUCUCAGUUUUGGCCUCGGUGAAAUGCAAGGUAGCGAGGAUGCCGGCUAUGGGAAUCCCGGCAUGCUCCACACUCACGGACAGAGCUGCACCGUACAGACGCAGAUUCGUCUGCAAUUGAGAUCGAGUACACAUGCUGGAUGGAGGAUUUGAGCUAGCAGCACAUUGAGCCAGAUCUCAUUUGGUCUUGGAGCUCAAUGUAUCUGCACAUCUAUUUGGAUGCAUUGAUACUUGAAUCGGGACUGCACCUAGUUUAGGGUAAAUCUCAUGUGCCAGAUGCUUUUGACAAUACCAACUGUGAGCAUUGAAUUGUGAUCUCGAUGUAACCAAGCCUUCUGCAUGCAUUGAACUGUGAGUACUGCCUCUAAUUAAAUCCACCUAUGAAUGGAAAUACUGCUGCAUACGCAUAUCCUUGUGGGAAUUAUUUUUUUAAUUGAAUACUACUUCAACUCAUGCAGUAAACGGUGGAGUACAUUGUUGAUCCCAUUUGCUUUGCUAACUGAACUAGCCUUUGGUUAGUUUUCUGAAAUCUUCCUGUCAGUUUAGAAAAUAAUAUUGGUUUACCGUAUAGGUAAUUCAGUACCUAAUGCGAGUAGAUAUAUUUCCAAGAGCAAUUUUCUUUUGAUUUUUGUUUACACAACUGAUUCAUACCAGAUUGUAGGUUAAAGUGCAUUGGAAGUUCUGACAAUUUCCCUGUAUAUAUGUUCUUGCAGUAUAGCUGUAGACUUUAGCUAUGGAGUAGUGUUUAUGGCAAUGCUUUUCGCAAACAAAGUAUUUCUUAUGCAGGACAUUCACUCCAUGAUCCUGCUCACUGCACAGAUGUGCAGAGCAAGGAGAAGAAUAUUGGAAGGCCAUCAGGGAGGUUGCCAAGUGAAACGACAUGGGAUAUGCAAAGGUUGUUGACUGGAGAGGGAUCGCAGGCCUGCCAGAUAGUUGCAGAUAGCUAGGCAUCUCUAUCUAAAUUGUGUGCACUAGCAUAGCAGUAGUAGUAGCAGUAGCAACGGAUAACCGUCAGCUCAUCAAUCAUGCCUGUGUUUGCUUGCCUGUGAUGGUUCAUGUCUUUCUGAGACAUCCAUUUGCCUGCCUGUGAUGUAAUCCUUUCUAAGCCUUGUGGUGUGAUGAUAUGUUCCGAAGAAAUCAUGCUUGUGCCAAGGCCGGUGUACUCAUGUUGUUCCUUUUCUUCACUUGUAUGGCAAUCAUUGGGUUGAUUCUAGAUUUAAGAUAUGCAAUUCUUUGCAGAUAAUGAUAUUUACAAUGUGAUAAUGGCAUUUGCAAA
Panicum virgatum (switchgrass) is the source of this 2049-nucleotide long non-coding RNA. RefSeq lists it as uncharacterized. The transcript has 6 exons. Lineage: Eukaryota; Viridiplantae; Streptophyta; Magnoliopsida; Poales; Poaceae. The record is from RefSeq and is a predicted model, not a curated record.